GUCGAGAAUUUUUCGCAAUGGGGGAAACCCUGACGGAGCGACGCCGCGUGGAGGAUGAAUGGCUUCGGCUUGUAAACUCCUGUCAUUUGAGAACAAGUGCUACCGUGUAACUAACGGGAGCUUGAUAGUAUCAGAAGAGGAAGAGGCGGCUAACUCUGUGCCAGCAGCCGCGGUAAUACAGAGGCCUCAAGCGUUGUUCGGAUUCAUUGGGCGUAAAGGGAGCGUAGGCGGUCGGGUAAGUCGGAUGUGAAAUCCUGGGGCUCAACCUCAGAACUGCAUUCGAUACUGCUUGGCUAGAGUACUGGAGAGGUGAGUGGAAUUCACGGUGUAGCAGUGAAAUGCGUAGAUAUCGUGAGGAAGACCAGCGGCGAAGGCGGCUCACUGGACAGUUACUGACGCUGAUGCUCGAAGGCCAGGGGAGCAAACGGG
This 429-nucleotide ribosomal RNA is filed under the name uncultured bacterium. RNAcentral describes it as "bacterial SSU rRNA". It matches the Rfam family "Bacterial small subunit ribosomal RNA", at positions 354 to 776 of the family's 1533-position model. The record is from RNAcentral.